Molecule: ribosomal RNA, 459 nt
Filed under: uncultured bacterium
Lineage: Bacteria
Description: partial 16S ribosomal RNA
Rfam family: Bacterial small subunit ribosomal RNA
Source: RNAcentral
CCUACGGGUGGCAGCAGUGGGGAAUAUUGCACAAUGGCCGGAAGGCUGAACCAGCCAAGCCGCGUGAAGGACGAAGGUGCCAAGCAUUGUAAACUUCUUUUGUCAAGGGACAAAAUCAGGCUCGAGAGCCUGACCGAGGGUACUUGAAGAAAAAGCAUCGGCUAACUCCGUGCCAGCAGCCGCGGUAAUACGGAGGAUGCGAGCGUUAUCCGGAUUUAUUGGGUUUAAAGGGUGCGUAGGCGGACUGUUAAGUCAGCGGUAAAAGCCCGGGGCUCAACCCCGGCGAGCCGUUGAAACUGGGUGUCGUGAGAUGUCGAGAGGUAUGCGGAAUGCGGAGUGUAGCGGUGAAAGGCUUAGAUAUUGCGCAGAACUGUGAGUGCGAAGGCAGCAUACCGGCGGCGAUCUGACGCGGAGGCACGAAAGCGUGGGUAUCGAACAGGAGUAGAUACCCUUGUAGUC